Molecule: microRNA precursor, 103 nt
Filed under: Marmota monax (woodchuck)
Lineage: Eukaryota; Metazoa; Chordata; Mammalia; Rodentia; Sciuridae
Source: RNAcentral
AGUGGGAUAGCUGGGUCAAAUGGUGGCUCCAUUAAAAAAUUUCUAAGGAAUCUCCAUACUGCUUUCCAGAGUGGUUGCACCAAUUUGCAAUCCCACCAGCAAU